GGCUGGUCCGAGUGCAGUGGUGUUUACAACUAAUUGAUCACAACCAGUUACAGAUUUCUUUGUUCCUUCUCCGCUCCCACUGCUUCACUUGACUAGCCUUAC
Molecule: unclassified non-coding RNA, 102 nt
Organism: Cavia aperea (Brazilian guinea pig)
Lineage: Eukaryota; Metazoa; Chordata; Mammalia; Rodentia; Caviidae
Rfam family: Y RNA
About the family: Y RNAs are components of the Ro ribonucleoprotein particle (Ro RNP), in association with Ro60 and La proteins. The Y RNAs and Ro60 and La proteins are well conserved, but the function of the Ro RNP is not known.
Source: Ensembl